UUACGACUAUAUCACGUUGAAACACCGGUUUCUCGUACGAUCACCGAAGGUAAGCAACGCUGAACCUGGUCAGUAUCUAGAUGGGUGACCACUUCGUAAUAGUAAGUGUUGUAA
Acanthosepion pharaonis is the source of this 114-nucleotide non-coding RNA. Lineage: Eukaryota; Metazoa; Mollusca; Cephalopoda; Sepiida; Sepiidae. The record is from the annotation of a GenBank genome assembly.